CGGGGGCCCGCACAAGCGGUGGAGCAUGUGGUUUAAUUCGAUGCAACGCGAAGAACCUUACCUACUCUUGACAUCCAGAGAACUUAGCAGAGAUGCUUUGGUGCCUUCGGGAACUCUGAGACAGGUGCUGCAUGGCUGUCGUCAGCUCGUGUUGUGAAAUGUUGGGUUAAGUCCCGCAACGAGCGCAACCCUUAUCCUUUGUUGCCAGCGGUCCGGCCGGGAACUCAAAGGAGACUGCCAGUGAUAAACUGGAGGAAGGUGGGGAUGACGUCAAGUCAUCAUGGCCCUUACGAGUAGGGCUACACACGUGCUACAAUGGCAUAUACAAAGAGAAGCGACCUCGCGAGAGCAAGCGGACCUCAUAAAGUAUGUCGUAGUCCGGAUUGGAGUCUGCAACUCGACUCCAUGAAGUCGGAAUCGCUAGUAAUCGUGGAUCAGAAUGCCACGGUGAAUACGUUCCCGGGCCUUGUACACACCGCCCGUCACACCAUGGGAGUGGGUUGCAAAAGAAGUAGGUAGCUUAACCUUCGGGAGGGCGCUUACCACUUUGUGAUUCAUGACUGGGGUGAAGUCGUAACAAGGUAACCGUAGGGGAACCUGCGGUUGGAUCACCUCCUUA
RNAcentral lists this ribosomal RNA (619 nucleotides) under Citrobacter freundii. RNAcentral's name for it is "bacterial SSU rRNA". It matches the Rfam family "Bacterial small subunit ribosomal RNA", at positions 914 to 1533 of the family's 1533-position model. RNAcentral also lists the same sequence under 1 other name. Lineage: Bacteria; Pseudomonadati; Pseudomonadota; Gammaproteobacteria; Enterobacterales; Enterobacteriaceae. The record is from RNAcentral.